UACGUAGGGUGCAAGCGUUGUCCGGAAUUAUUGGGCGUAAAGAGCUCGUAGGCGGUUUGUUGCGUCGGCUGUGAAAUCCCGAGGCUCAACCUCGGGUCUGCAGUCGAUACGAGCAAACUAGAGUGUUGCAGGGGAGACUGGAAUUCCUGGUGUAGCGGUGAAAUGCGCAGAUAUCAGGGAGGAACACCGGUGGCGAAGGCGGGUCUCUGGGC
RNAcentral lists this ribosomal RNA (212 nucleotides) under uncultured bacterium. RNAcentral's name for it is "partial 16S ribosomal RNA". It matches the Rfam family "Bacterial small subunit ribosomal RNA", at positions 524 to 734 of the family's 1533-position model. The record is from RNAcentral.